UGUCAGGCCGGGUCACCCUGCUAUGGUAACCGAGUAGACCGUACAGUCAGCAACUCGAGAGUGUCUGGCGGCGGGAAAUAACCAGACUCCCUAAGGGGGCCCACGGCUUCGGUCGGAGGAGCUCCUUUAGUUGGGGUGAUGGUCCCGUAAGUGGAGGUAAUGUCACUGAUAUCCAUCAUAUAGCCUCUUUUCUCUAGGUUAGCGGCUGCUGCAAAAACCGUCUCCUCCCCACUUUAGGAGCGGCCUUAAACAAAUUUUGAGGAAAACAACGGAAAAUAGCUCAAGAUUUUCUUUCCGAAGAAAACCCAUCAUGGAUUUCCCGCAGUUAUUACUGAUUGUGGAACGUGUCUAUUGAUGUGUCACCAACUUUCAAAAUGGAAAGACGGACUGAUGAUGAUGAUGAUGACAGAUAUUAUCAUUUUCGUUACCCCAGACUAUAUUUCGUCGAAUGAUUGGGUGAUGUGGAUAAUGAAUCGGAAAGGAUGAGGACAGAUGGCUGUUUCAAAAUAAGUUACUGAAGAUUUUAUUCCGUCCUUACGAUGGGAGUGGCCCAGUGGCUAAGUCAGUUGUUUACGCUCUCAUGAAUAUUCCGUUUUGUAAUGAGCCAUCGAGUUAAUUGGAGGUUGCAUUAGAAAUUUGGGUUGGCAACCACAGAUUGGAGCGGGGUGUGGCCCCAAUCAUUACGAGCAAGAUGUUUGAUUUCUCCUCUCAUAUCGACACACUACAGUUGAAUUCUCGCAUUCACCUAUAAAGACGGUGGGAAGAACGACAGUUCUACCCAGAUUCUGCAUUCUAUUCUUCUGUCGGGUCCGCAGGGACCGCGCGGUCUGAGGCGUUUGCCUUGUGUCGCUUAGUCGCUGGGACCGUGGGUUCGAAUCCCGUUCAAGCUAUGCAUGUUUGUCGGCGGCUUUCUGUGUUGUGCAGUCCUUUGUACAGAUAGAGGCCUUGCGGCGGGCCGAUCCCUCGUCCAAGGUGUACCGAAUGUCUGUGAAUGAAGCCAACGAUAAGUUGUCGUUCCCAGUAUCCCAGUAUUCUUCUGUCAGGUUAAUACUAAUUUAUUUUAUCGAAGUAACUUCAGAAGCUAGAUGACGUUCAAUUUAUCGACAUUUGUGUAAAGCGUGCAUGUAUUUAUACAGAGAGGGCUCUUCUUUGCAUAAUCUGAAUGUGGGUUUUUGGUGACGUUUUUAGUAUCGUUUUUUCGUGACAUUAACAUCAGCUGCCGAGUCUCAGCUCCGACCUGAAUAUUGGUGUGGAAGAACUAAUUGUAUAUUUUGAGGUCUAUUAGCAUGAAUUUAAAUCCGUUUAGUAUAUUCGUUGAUCCAGGUUGAGGUUGAAGUUCUCAUCACAGAUGCUGUUUGGGGAAAGGCGUUCUUGCGAAACAAGUAGGAGUAAAGAAACCUCUGCCAGAUUUCUUAUCAAGUUUCAGACCUUGGGCAUAUAUCCUUUGCUAACUAACUAACUAGAUGGCAUACCGAACCCGAAAGUUCAUCACCGAAUUAACCAAAGCCCUAAACUGGACCCUGUACUGGGCCAACAAAAUCCAGGUUCCUUCAACUCCUAUCUCCCAUAGAUCCCGCCUGAGAUUAUCAUCCCAUGUACAUCCUUUGCUCCUGCAGAUAAUCAGGUUUAUGCUUACUUUGCAGCACGUUGGAAGAUGUUAAAAAUAUUUUGCUCCCACCUGUUAGCCACAAGUAAAUUGGAGUUGUGCUUGAUAAGUUAUUAUAUUUUGCAUCUAGUUGUGCCGUGCUCUUGUCACAGAUCAGUCAAGUAUGACUUAAUAAUUUUAAUUUUUUUAAAAAAUCGCUGUCAGCCGUAUUGGCAUUGAUUCCUCAAUGUCUUCCUUUCUUGUCUCACAUUUAGACGUGGCAUUGGUACGUUCAUCCGUUAUUUAUGAAUCCGUACGAAUCAACAAAAUUUCAAGACACUCACCGUGUCCUGUUUAUCUGUAACUGUGGGAUUCGAAGAAACACGUUUAUUAUGCCUGAAGAAGCAUUUCAGUUUUCCGCGUUGGUUGUGGUAUUACCAAAAAAUUCACACCAUUCUGUAUUCCAUUUAUUCGGUAAUUAAAUUUUGUUUCUGAAGUUGCGGAUUUUGCCACAAUCGCUUCUUAAAUCAGGUGUAAUUUGGUACGGGAUUGUGAGAACUAAUUCUGGAAAUAUUUUUGAAGAAACGUAACGGUUUUCAAAGGAUUUGUGUUCUGCACUUUCUUUGCACUCCUUGACCGAAUCCUGUGUUAAAUGUGAGACGUAAUUUUCUUUGCCAUAGAUGGCUCUGGCAGUGAAAUCAGGAUUGAGUAUAAAUUGUGCAGAGGCAGUGGGCUGGUCACUCACCACUCAAAAAUGCAUACUUCAAGACCAAGAAACCUCCGAAAAGGAAGCGGCGAAAACGAACAACAGGGUUGUAGAGCUACGAAACAACAUCUCACGCAAAAUGAAGAUCCAGUCAUCGCGACUGCUGCACGACAGACCAAAUUACAUGCUUCUGAUAUGCGGAGUCGUAGCAGUGUGGGUUUCAAUCAUUACUGGACAGAAUGUCUCAACACGCAACAUCUGAUACAUUACUCCGUCGAAUACGAAAGACGAGACGCGGGGUGACUUAAGUUAUAUUAUUUAUAAUUUUGUGUUUUUACGCGGAUUUCGAUGUUUUGGGCCACUAUAUUCUACCGCAUAUUCGCCUCUCUUGUUGCUGGUGGCUACUAAGCUUCACAUUCUGAUGAUGAGCCAAGGAUUUUCGAUCGAUGUCACUAACAGUUUCAUCAAGCUCUGAAUUUGGGGUUCUGUCCAAAUUUUGGUUGGCUUGGUGGUGCCCCAAUCAUUACGCGACUGGCCUGAGGUCUGGAAUUCUUUGAAGAUGAAAUGUUUUGAGGUAUUAUUCUACACUUAAUGACACCGAUGCCGGAACCUUAAAAGUCUGCGUAAUUAGUCUUCACAGAUGAGAAAAGAACAACUUAAUAAUACGUAAAUAGGCUUAUCAGUGUCAUCUAAUGAUUUCACAUGACUUCUACAGUCACCUCAUUAUGGCUGUGAUUAAGUUGCUUGGGUUUUCAAUUCAAUUGCCUAUAAAACCUACAGAUGAACGUGACUUAGAAUCACGUACCGCAUUCUGGACCUUAUCACCCUAGGAUUCAUCGAAAUAUGUACAGAAAUUCAUAAGGAAAGUAACGUAUAAUUUCUUGAUCAAUUUGAAAUUCUUACAUAUAUUCAGAAUGUGGUGUGUCUCCUGUAGAUUUUCCAGUCGGCUUCACGCCAUUCUUGGAAAUAUAGAAGAGCCUUGAAGGUGCCAUAUCUGAUGCCACAGACGUAAGCAGCCCAAGCUAUUGUCCGAGGCGCCCGUGGCUGUGCAACUGCAGAUUGUAAAGUUUUCGAUACAACACGUUUCUUAGAAUGGCAUGCAGUGUUACCAGACGUAAUGUGGUCGAAGGAUACUGGAAGUGAAAUUAUUAUUUGAGUUAAACACAACAAUUCCUCUUCUACUUAAGUUGCCCUCUUGAACGCGAGAGGGAAUUGAGGUUUCUGCGUAUGUGAUGACAAAUUAAACUAAACUUAGAGAUAUAAUCUAUUGUCUGGCCGGGUCAGCCUGAUACGGUAACCGAGUAGACCGUACAGCCAGCAACUCGACGCCGAGUGUCGGGCGGCGGUAAAUAACCAGUCUUUCUAAGGGGGCCCACGGCUUCGGUCGGAGGAGCCCCUUUAGGUGGGGUGAUGGUCCCGUCAGUGGAUGAUAUGCCUCUUAAAUCCAUCAUAUGGCGUCUGCUACCCACGUUAGGGGCGGCCUAAAACAAACUUUGAGGAAUGCAUCGGGAAACUACUUCAAGAUUUCCCGCAGUUAAUAUAGAUUCUGGAACGUGUUUAAUGAUGGGUCACCAACUUUCAAAAUGGAAAGACGGACUGAUGAUGAUGAUGAUAGAUAUUAUCAUUCUCGGUACCUCAGACUAUAUAUCGUCGAAUGAGUGGGUGAUAUGAAUAAUGAAUCGGGAAGGAUGAGGACGGAUGGCUGUUUCAAAAUAAGUUACUUAAGAUUUUAUUCCGUCCUUACGAUGGGACUGGCCCAGUGGCUAAGUCAGUUGUUUACGCUCUCAUGAAUAUUCCGUUUUGUAAUGAACCAUCGACUUAAUUGGAGGUUGCAUUAGAAAUUUGGGUUGGCAACCACAGAUUGGGGCGGGGUGGGGCCCCUUACAUUACAAGCAGGAUGUUUGAUUUCUCCUCUCAUUUCGACACACUAUAGUUCAAUACUCGCAUUCUUGGUGGUGUUAUUAUUGUUGUUGUUUUUGAUAUUAAUAUGUGAACAGACAGACGUUCAAUUAAGAGGAGCAGCUUGACUCUAAUUAUUUUGGUCUUAGUUAAUUUUGCGUACUAAAUCUAUAAAGGCGUAGGUGUUAUUAUGUGUAUUAAAUUGCAUUCUUAUCGUCAUGAGUGAUCCAUCUAUAUUACGUGAAUUCUCAGGCACUUAUGACAUUAGAGCUUCCUCGUAUUGUUGCAUAUAAUGUAUCCUCUAGAGACAGUUUUACUGUUCUUUAUAAUGCCUUAAUCACGUCACAUCUAGAGCAUGUCUCGGUCGUAUGAAAUAAUCCCUCACUGACAGACUAAUAAAUUAAAAUAUAUUCAAAGGAAAUUUGUCAGUUUCUGCCAGUAUCGGGUUUUUCAGUCUGAUAUCUCACGUAACUAUGAUUUGAUUUUAACUUCCUUAGAGCUUAGAACACUAUCCCAAAUGAAGACGUCUCGUUGCUUUAUGUCUCAUCAAUGCUUGACGGGUAGUAUAAAUCGCCAUUUCUUCAUUUACAUUAUUUGUGUACGUUUGGCCGGAAGAUGUACAUAAGAGCAUUUCCUACCUUUGUUGUAAACACUGCGUCAAGAUCUAGUCCUUCAGUCACGUGCUUCAGUGCUGGAAGUGACGUGUGUAAAUCUUUAGACGUAUUUUGCUGAAGAGGUUCGAUUCUUUUCCUUCUUCUUCCUUAGCGUGAAUUGAGUGCCAUCGGGCCAGUUCCGAGUUUAAAUAAAUAAAUCUUGCCUUUCCACUGACUUCUAGUUCUUCCUUUAAUCCCUCGUUUGUGUUCGUUUAUAUGUAAGUUUUCUCCUGUCCACUUAACAUUUGUAUGUCAUUUAUAAUAUUUGUGUUCUUCAAUCGGUUCUUCAUUGAUAAUUUUGUAAUUUAUCUGUUCGGAUAACCUAUCGUCAUACUCUCAGUAAUCUCAAGAGGUAAUAAUCUAAUCGCCUCGUCACCCUUUCUUAGAAUUCAGGUUUCGGUGCCAAACUUUAGCGCUGAUUUAGUUGCAAUUUUAUGCGGUCUGAAUGAAGUGCCCGUAUUCAUUUUGUUCCUAAAAUGUCUUUUUUUAACUCCAUUAAGUUUAUUGUAUUUACCCAAUCUUGUUUCAUGCUCUUAUUUCAUUUUUAGUUUUCAGGAUUUUAUUUUUAUUUGCUCUCGUGACGGUAAUAUCUCUUUGAUUUAGAUUUCUUCAUGUGCUUUGCUGUUUCGUCAUUGACUUAUUCUUACGUUUGCUUCAGGUUUUACAUGUUAUGUUAGAUUUUUCUUGGCAUUCUGAAUUAGUAUGUUGACACGGUGUGGGAUAGAGUGGCGUGCUGUUGGUUGUAUGCCGGGGUGGAGUAUAAGAAAGGUGUUUGUGUCAGUUGAGUGCUUCUAGGGUGCAGCAGUGGCAGGAAUUUAGUGAAGCGUGAUUGUAGUAUGUAUGAAUUGUAAAUGAGUGGAUUGAAGUCUGGAGUAGAAAGUUGAAUUGAGCGGAUUAAAAUGGUGUUUGGCGGAGUGGAAUUUAAUGAAGUGUUAGUAGAAUUACAAGGAAUGAGGAGAGAGAGAAAGGGGCGAAUGUGAUGAGAGUGAGGAGUGACUGAAGCGAAAGUAGAUAUAUUUCGAGGAAUUCUGGCUCAACCGUUAAAAUUAACCACCGCAAAGAAAUUCCCAACAAGAAUUUUUUCAAGAAUUCUCCGGAAAUAUUUAGAGAGUUCUGGCGCAAAGAGAAAGUUAACCAUCACAACGAAUAUUCCGAAACAAAUUUUUUUCAAUAAUUUUAAUGUUUUCUGAAAAGAAUUUAAUGUUUUCAACAAAUACUUUCCGAAAGCAAUUUGUCCAAGAAUUUUUCGAAAACAAUUUCCGCAAUGAAUUUUCCUAAAAUAAUUUGUUUUCAGGAUGCAGCUUCUCCUCAUCCUCGGUAAUAAUCUCUCCCCAAGGUUUUAAUUUUAAAAAUAUUUCACCUCUUCUUCCCAACACAAUAUUUCGUGUUCUUUCAAACUGUAAAACUAUUUCAUUCUUAAUAAAUGAACACUUGUAAAACAAGUGUGCGUUGGAGUCUGUUUGUUGGAGUGUUCAAAUUUCUAACGCCAAAUAAACUUAUGAGAUGUGUAUUCAUUGAUUUUGCCAGAUUGUUCGGAAGUUUAUAUUUUGGCAGAAUACGACAUUUUAUUAUGGACCAAGUCAUAAAACUUGCUUAAUACAUAUGUUUAUGUGAGGGUUCGUAGUAGAAGAAGAAUAUGUUUCCACUGUUUGUUUCUUUCAUUUACAUUGCUGUUGUUGAAAUGGUUGGAUGAAUUUGUGAUUAUGUAAACCACACUCUAUUUUAAGUGUACUUAAUUUGGUUUUCUUUUCUUUUCUUUUUUUACCCUCCUUGAACAUAAUGACGGUGGG
Non-coding RNA from Zootermopsis nevadensis, 6633 nucleotides. The record is from RefSeq and is a predicted model, not a curated record. NCBI's taxonomy places the organism in Eukaryota, Metazoa, Arthropoda, Insecta, Blattodea, Termopsidae.